UCAUUAUCAGUAUCACUCGCUUUAAAACUCGUACAUAUAUAUAAACACACUGAUAUUCACACACUUGCGUAUUCUUCUUUAUUUACAGAAAACAGAUUAAAGUAUUCAGUUCAGUUUAGUUGAGACUUAUGCUUAAAGAACUGCAGUAAUGUUUUUUAUUAAAUGCAAGCGAAAUAUUAAAAUAUGCGCAAACAUUUUGGAUCUAAGACAUAAAUUUGCUAUAGCAUAAAUAUUUAUUAUUAAAAUUCGAUAAUAUUCGUAUCGCCAAUUUUGGAACUUACAAUGGAAUAUAAAUAUAAAUAUUUAUGACUAUAUGGAUACCAUUCUAAAUCGUAGCCAGUGGAAAAGGUUAAUUAAAAUUGUGUUUCCUGCAGUGACUCACAGACGAAUUAAAACCUUAUCGAGGGAUUGCACUUGAAGUAUCGGAAGAAUCUUCUGUACUGCGCUUUGUUUUGGUUAAACCGAGAUUCUCUGGAAAAAACUUUCACAUAAGCUCAAAAUUCUUUGAGUAUACACUAGGACUAUUUCAUCAACUUAACUAAACUUUACUUAUAUGGGGAAAAAUGUAAAUUAUUAGGCUGUAUAUACUUGAUCUGUAUCAACAGCCGUUUCUUUGUAUGUUUAUAUAACUUCGAUCUCAGAGACUAUAAAAAGUAGUUUCUUCCAAUUUAGAAUCGGUAUUUAAUAAUAUUUAAAGUUGACAAAAGUGUGCAUUA
Long non-coding RNA from Drosophila innubila, 716 nucleotides. RefSeq lists it as uncharacterized. Lineage: Eukaryota; Metazoa; Arthropoda; Insecta; Diptera; Drosophilidae. The record is from RefSeq and is a predicted model, not a curated record. The transcript has 2 exons.